UUGAUCCUGGCUCAAUUGACCUGGCGGCAUGCUUUACACAUCCAAGUCGAACGGCAGCGCGGGCCAACCUGGCGGCGAGUGGCGAACGGGUAGUAAUACAUCGUAACGUCCCAGAAGUGGGGGAUAACGUAGCGAAAGUUACGCUUAAUACCGCAUACGUUCUACGGAAGAAAGUGGGGGAUCGCAAGACCUCAUGCUUUUGGAGCGGCCGAUGUCUGAUUAGCUAGUUGGUGAGGUAAAGGCUCACCAAGGCGACGAUCAGUAGCUGGUCUGAGAGGACAGACCAACCACAUUGGGACUGAGACACGGCCCAGACUCCUACGGGAGGCAGCAGUGGGGAAUUUUGGACAAUGGGCGCAAGCCUGAUCCAGCUAAUGCCGCGUGAGUGAAGAAGGCCUUCGGGUUGUAAAGCUCUUUUGUCAGGGAAGAAACGGCUGGGGUUAAUACCCCUGGCUAAUGCG
RNAcentral lists this ribosomal RNA (461 nucleotides) under uncultured bacterium. Its description in RNAcentral is "bacterial SSU rRNA". It matches the Rfam family "Bacterial small subunit ribosomal RNA", at positions 13 to 490 of the family's 1533-position model. The record is from RNAcentral.